UAGUCCACGCCGUAAACGAUGGAUACUAGCUGUCCGGGACCUUGAGUCCUGGGCGGCCAAGCGAAAGUGAUAAGUAUCCCACCUGGGGAGUACGUUCGCAAGAAUGAGACUCAAAGGAAUUGACGGGGGCCCGCACAAGCGGUGGAGCAUGUGGUUUAAUUCGAUGAUACGCGAGGAACCUUACCAGGGCUUAAAUGUACAUUGCAUAGCGUAGAGAUAUGCUUUUCUUCGGACUAUGUACAAGGUGCUGCAUGGUUGUCGUCAGCUCGUGCCGUGAGGUGUCAGGUUAAGUCCUAUAACGAGCGCAACCCCUACCGUUAGUUGCCAGCAUGUAAUGAUGGGGACUCUAACGGGACUGCCGGUGCAAACCGUGAGGAAGGUGGGGACGACGUCAAAUCAUCACGGCCCUUACGUCCUGGGCCACACACGUGCUACAAUGGCCGGUACAGAGGGAAGCCACCACGUAAGUGGGCGCGGGAUCUAUAAAACCGAUCGUAGUCCGGAUUGGAGUCUGCAAC
Molecule: ribosomal RNA, 518 nt
Filed under: uncultured bacterium
Lineage: Bacteria
Description: bacterial SSU rRNA
Rfam family: Bacterial small subunit ribosomal RNA
Source: RNAcentral